Molecule: ribosomal RNA, 253 nt
Filed under: uncultured bacterium
Lineage: Bacteria
Description: partial 16S ribosomal RNA
Rfam family: Bacterial small subunit ribosomal RNA
Source: RNAcentral
UACGUAGGGUGCGAGCGUUAAUCGGAAUUACUGGGCGUAAAGCGUGCGCAGGCGGUUAUGCAAGACAGAUGUGAAAUCCCCGGGCUUAACCUGGGAACUGCAUUUGUGACUGCAUCGCUGGAGUGCGGCAGAGGGGGAUGGAAUUCCGCGUGUAGCAGUGAAAUGCGUAGAUAUGCGGAGGAACACCGAUGGCGAAGGCAAUCCCCUGGGCCUGCACUGACGCUCAUGCACGAAAGCGUGGGGAGCAAACAGG